AUGGUCUACCCUCCGCGCCUUGCACAGGACAACUUUCGUUAUCAUCCUGUCCAAACUAGAAUGCACUUUACUGUGCGACCUUGGCUAUCCAAUACUUUAACUUUAAAUAAAUGAAAGGGUAUCAAGCAAGCGAAUGCCUUGAAUACAAUACCAUGGAAUAAUAUAAUCGGACCUCAUCCCAACGCUGUUGGUUCAUUGCAUUGAAGUAAUGAUAAACAGGGAUAGCUGGGGGCAUUCAUAUUUAACUGUCAGAGGUGAAAUUCUUGGAUUUGUUAAAGACGAACUACUGCGAAAGCAUCUGCCAAGGAUGUUCUCAUUGAUCAAGAACGAAAGUUAGGGGAUCGAAGACGAUCAGAUACCGUCCUAGUCUUAACCAUAAACUAUGCCGACUAGAGAUUGGGGGUAGUACAUUAUUUUGACUCCUCCAGCAUCUUGGGAGAAAUCAGAGUCUUUGGGUUCCGGGGGGAGUAUGGUCGCAAGGCUGAAACUUAAAGGAAUUGACGGAAGGGCACCACCAGGAGUGGAGCCUGCGGCUUAAUUUGACUCAACACGGGGAAACUUACCAGGUCCAGACAUAGUAAGGAUUGACAGACUGAAAGCUCUUUCUUGAUUCUAUGGGUGGUGGUGCAUGGCCGUUCUUAGUUGGUGGAGUGAUUUGUCAGGUUAAUUCCGUUAACGAACGAGACCUUAGCCUGUUAAAUAGUGUCCAGGACCAUUGGUUCUAGGUGAUCACUUCUUAGAGGGACUUCAUGGCUUUAACAUGAGGAAGUGUGAGGCAAUAACAGGUCUGUGAUGCCCUUAGAUGUCCUGGGCUGCACGCGCGCUACACUGAUGCGUUCAACAAGUAUAGAACCUUUUCUUGGAAGGAAUAGGUAAUCUUGUUAAAUCGCAUCGUGAUGGGGAUAGUUUAUUGCAAUUUUUAAUCUUCAACGAGGAAUUCCUAGUAACCGUGAGUCAUCAACUUGCGAUGACUACGUCCCUGCCCUUUGUACACACCGCCC
RNAcentral lists this ribosomal RNA (1001 nucleotides) under uncultured dinoflagellate. RNAcentral's name for it is "SSU rRNA". It matches the Rfam family "Eukaryotic small subunit ribosomal RNA", at positions 655 to 1674 of the family's 1831-position model. The record is from RNAcentral. Lineage: Eukaryota; Dinophyceae.